This is a long non-coding RNA of Biomphalaria glabrata, 1521 nucleotides long. RefSeq lists it as uncharacterized. The record is from RefSeq and is a predicted model, not a curated record. The transcript is spliced from 3 exons. NCBI's taxonomy places the organism in Eukaryota, Metazoa, Mollusca, Gastropoda, Planorbidae.
UAUCAUUCAAUGGACCUAAAAAUAAAGUUGGAAUAUUUUCGCUUCAGUACAACACACAGCCAGGCUUAAUGUUUAUGUUUACACUUAACCAACCAAUCGUAUUGCUUUCGUCUUCUUUCCAAAAUAUAACUCUAGUUGUGAACUCCGUUCACAAGGUGCUAUCUGUAGUAAUCCUUGGGACAUCAGAAUUAUGUUGAUUGUCUCUGCAACUGGAUUACAAUUUAAUUCUCUGUUUUCUGGAUAAUAUUUUACAUGUCUUCAAUCUUGUUUAAUUGUGUGUGAUAGCCGCAUGACAUUAUUCAAAUUCAACAGAAGGAACACGGCCAUUGGUAUAUAAUUAACACAAAAUAUUAGGACUUCUACUAAAGUGGAAAUCAUCAAGGCCAUCAAAAGUGCAAAACGUGGGCAGCAGGCCCAGAUGGUAUUAAAGCAGACCCCAAACAUCAGAUGCAUGCAAUGCUAAAUUUACUACUGUGCAAGAUUUGGGAACAAGAACAGAUUCCUACCAUAUUUGGAAACUAGAUUACCUAAUCAAUGUACCCAAUGAAGGGUAAGAAAAAGACUAAAGCCUUAACAGGCUGGUUUCUGAAGGAAAAAUUAUGUUACUAGAUUACACAUGAUCAUGAAACCUUUGUAGAUUUUGAGAACUCAUUUGACAGCAUUGACAUACACAUAAUUUGGAAGCUGAUAAAUCUAAGAUUUUCUGAAUCAAUAAAAAGAAAACUGAGGUUAUGUGAAUCAAGUUAGCCCAAUCAUACUACUGGGGGAUACAUCCUCAAUACCAUUAACUCUGGGAAGUAUGAUUAGCAAAAACAGUGGAACUGAUGAUGAUAUAAGAAAUGGCAUUACUAAAGCUAGAUUUGCCUUUAACACUCUUCAAACUAUCUGGCACUCUAAAGUACUGUCUUUACAAAUUAAGAUCUUGAUCAUUAACAUGAGCGUUAAUUCGGUUCUUCUAUAAAGUUCCAAAUCAUGGAGAGAGAAACAUAUGGAAAAAUUCCAGGCCUUCAUCAAACUGUUGCCUUCUCUGGACAUUUGAAAAUAUAUCUACUGUCAAAGUAGAAACUACAAUUAAGGACAGAACGAGAAAAAAAAAACAUACCCAAAGAUACAUUUUAAAGUGAAAAUGGAGCUGGAUAGAAAUAUUUCUGGGAAAACCAACUACCAAUAUUGCAAAGCAGGCACUUGACUUGAUAUUCGCAUGGAAUCUGGGCAGGCUUAAACAAACCUGAAAGAGUUCAGAUCAGCAAGGAUGCAAAUACUGGAAUGACAUAUGCCAUAAUGGAAGAUGAAUUACCAGAUUCAGCAUAGGAGAUCGAAGAAAGGCACACAGAAAUAAGUCAAUUAAACAUGAACCAUAACAAGGGUGAGAAAUGAGAAAUGCAAUCAAGUCAGCACUAGACAAUGGAUACAUUUUGUUUCUUUCUCUCAUUAUGUUUCUGUAAUAUCUCACACUUUUUUUGUUUUUACAUUUUCCUAUUUGAUGUAUGAUAUAUAUAUAAAUUAAUUGAAAAUUCAUUA